UGGUGGGACCACACCUAUGGUGCAUCUUACAAGGGUACAUGUGAAACUUACUAAAUGUAGAAUAUAAAUCUCUCAAUACAAUAACUAAGAAAAUGCCAGGAAGGCUGUUUUAACCAGUGUGAUGAAAAUAUGUCAAAUGGUAUAUAAAACCAGAGUAUGGUGACCCAUGAUCGCAUUAAUGUACACAGCUAUAAUUUAAUAAUAAAUAAAUUUUUUAAAAAAUGUCAUUUGAGGGUGGCACCGGUGGGACAGUCGCCAAGGGAUGGCGGAGCGUGAGGAUGGAGCGGGUGUCUGGGCUGCUCUCCUGGACGCUGAGCAGAGUCCUGUGGCUCUUGGGCUUCUCUGAGCGGGGAGCUGCCCGGCAGCCCCGGAUCAUGGAAGAAAAAAUGCUAGAGAUUUAUGAUUUCAUUUGAACUAUCUGGGACUCAGAAAAGCCCAAUACUCUAGAAGAACUGGAAGUGGUAAUGGAAAGUUGUGUGGAGGUUCAGGAGAUAAAUGAAGAAGACUAUUUGGUAAUUAUCAAGUUUACACCAACAGUACCUCAUUGCUCUUUGGCAACUCUUAUUGGGCUGUGUUUAAGAGUAAAACUUCAGUGGUGUAUACCGUUUAAACACAAGUUGGAAAUCUACAUUUCUGAAGGAACCCACUCAACAGAAGAAGACCUCAAUAAGCAGAUAAAUGACAAAGAGCGAGUGGCAGCUGCCAGGGAAAACCCCAACUUACGGGAAAUUGUGGAACAGUGUGUCCUUGAACCUGACUGAUAGCUGUUCUAAGAGCCACCAAACUGUAAUUGAUACAUUUGUUUAAACUCUUUGUAUAAUAUGAAAGACUCAUGUUUAAUACAUGGGUGAUUUAUACCUUGAAACAUUUUUUUAAAUAAUUAUUUCCAAGCAAAAUUUACUUAUAAGGUAGUAUCUAAUUUGUUCAGUGUUUAACAUUCUCAGGAUUUGUAACAUUUAAAUGAUCAGACAGAAUAAUAUUUUCUAGUUAUUAUGUGUAAGAUGAGUUGCUAUUUUUCUGAUGCCCAUUCUGAUACAACUACUUUUCAUGUCAAAUAUCUGCGUGCGUGCCCAAAUGCAUCAAUUUAAAUCAUUACUCUGUAAAAUAAAUAAAUGAUGAUUCUUA
RNA transcript from Nycticebus coucang (slow loris), 1125 nucleotides. It is a transcript of the gene named cytosolic iron-sulfur assembly component 2A-like, with no coding region annotated. The transcript has a single exon. NCBI's taxonomy places the organism in Eukaryota, Metazoa, Chordata, Mammalia, Primates, Lorisidae. The record is from RefSeq and is a predicted model, not a curated record.